This 200-nucleotide ribosomal RNA is filed under the name uncultured organism. RNAcentral's name for it is "partial small subunit ribosomal RNA". It matches the Rfam family "Bacterial small subunit ribosomal RNA", at positions 1183 to 1382 of the family's 1533-position model. The record is from RNAcentral.
CGUCAAGUCAGCAUGGCCUUGAUGUCCAGGGCGACACACACGCUACAAUGGCCGGUACAAUGGGGCGCCAACCCGCGAGGGGGAGCCAAUCCGCCAAAGCCGGUCUCAGUUCGGAUUGCAGGCUGCAACCCGCCUGCAUGAAGUCGGAGUUGCUAGUAAUCGCUGAUCAGCAGGCAGCGGUGAAUACGUUCCCGGGCCUU